UACAGAGGGGGCAAGCGUUGUUCGGAAUUACUGGGCGUAAAGGGCUCGUAGGCGGCCAACUAAGUCAGACGUGAAAUCCCUCGGCUUAACCGGGGAACUGCGUCUGAUACUGGAUGGCUUGAGUUUGGGAGAGGGACGCGGAAUUCCAGGUGUAGCGGUGAAAUGCGUAGAUAUCUGGAGGAACACCGGUGGCGAAGGCGGCGUCCUGGACCAACACUGACACUGAUGAGCGAAAGCCAGGGGAGCAAACGGG
RNAcentral lists this ribosomal RNA (253 nucleotides) under uncultured bacterium. RNAcentral describes it as "partial 16S ribosomal RNA". It matches the Rfam family "Bacterial small subunit ribosomal RNA", at positions 524 to 776 of the family's 1533-position model. The record is from RNAcentral.